RNA transcript from Dreissena polymorpha, 2845 nucleotides. RefSeq lists it as uncharacterized. The record is from RefSeq and is a predicted model, not a curated record. The transcript has 3 exons. Lineage: Eukaryota; Metazoa; Mollusca; Bivalvia; Myida; Dreissenidae.
UCGUACAAAAUUGUACGUCGACGUACAAAUAUACAUACACUUCGACGUAUAUAUUUGUACGUCGACGUACAAAUUGUACAUCGACGAACAAUUUUGUACGUCGACGUACAAUUUUCUGAGCAGCCAAUCAAAAAACUCCUCUCUUGAAUCGCUUUUCCUUCAGAUUUAUUCAUAAGAAAUGUUCAAAAUCUCUUUUAAAAUUGAGGAAAAAAAAUUAGAUUUGAAACAGAAAAGAAAUAAACAUAAGUAUCUACUUGACGGUAUUUAUUCUAAAAUCGCUUUAUGUAAUGAAUAUUAUCUAGUAACUGCUGAGACCGGUCUAGUCCAUUUCCGGUUUCUGAAAAAUAUGGCGGACGCCGAAGGUUUUCGAGAAGUAGCAACUCGCAUUGUGCACUUUUUAUGUAGAAGUUUAAUGACGCAAUAUACAGAUGCAAAUUUGUGUGAAUCUAUUCUAACACUUUGACAGCGUUAAGCCGGUAUGCACUUCGUAUGUGUACCCGUUUUCCCAUUUUGAACGGCUGUGUGAGAUUCUCGACUCGUUAUGUCAACAACUGAAGAUCGAAAGAGGUUAGUAUUUUCCCUGACCAUUUAAAUAAUUUUCGAUCCCAUUACUUGCGGACCAUUUUUUAUGGAGUUGGUGCUCUUGAUCUUACUAUAAUUUUAUUUGUGUUAUAACCUUUGUUGCUUUAAUCUUUUCAAAACGCUGCAGCAUCUCAUUGGUUUCUUCGCCGAAAAACAGACUACAACGCGAGGCAGACCACUUUACGUCAUUAGUCGAGAGCAGCUGGAGUAUCUAGUUGAAGCGGGCUUCAAACGACGAGCUAUUGCUAGUCUGCUUCAUGUGUCAGAUUCGGUUAUUAAGCGCCGCCUCAGGACAUAUUGUAUAAGCAUCAGGGGAAGGUACUCGAGCAUCUCCAACGAGGAACUUGACAAUCUGGUCCGAGAGAUAACAAAUGGCAAUCAGACCACUUGGGCAACGAAUGGUUCAGGGACAACUUCAGAGUCUAAGACAUCGGGUUCAAAGACAACGUGUUGCUGACAGUCUGAUCUGGGUCUACGAAGCAGCCGUAGCCAUGCGAUGGUGUCACUCGAUUUGGCAAAGGGUAUACACUGUUGCUGGUCCAAACUCAUUGUGGCACAUAGAUGGAAACCACAAAUUGAUAAGGUGGGGUUUUGUCAUACACGGAGGCAUCGAUGGCCUCUCGCGGAUGUGUGUUUUCCUCCAAGCUGCGGCCAACAACAAGGCUACCACGAUGACAAAAGUCUUCAUGACAGGCACCCAGCGCUAUGGUGUCCCAUCAAGAGUCCGGAACGAUCAUGGACUGGGGAAUACCAGGGUUGGGGCGUUUAUGAUAGCGCAUCGUGGACCUCGUCGGGGUUCUUUCAUCACGGGAAGGAGCGUUCACAAUCAGCGGAAUCAGUUGCCAGUGCAACAAGCGUGUUUCACAGCUUGUUUACAUAUCUUGAGGAGUCUGGACAGUUGGAUUUGGCAAAUCCAGUGCACAUGUGGUGCCUUCAUCACUUGUUUGUGCCUCGUGUCCAGCAACAUUAGACAUAUUUCGUGAGGGCUGGAACUUGCACAGGUUGAGUGGUGAAAGAGGUAGAACCCCCACACAGCUCUACAUUGAGGGCAUGAUGCGCCAAUCUGGACAGGGUCAUAGGGGCAUCGACGACAUGGUGUUCCAUGCUUCGGAGGAGGCCAUCCAAGACCAUGACAAAUAUGGCAUUGACAUUGAGGUCGAGGUAGCACCCCGAGAAGACAUGAUCACCAAUGUGUCAAAUGUAGACUGUCCUCUAAACGAGCAGGACUUCACAAGACUAGAACAAACUGUGAACAUUGAAAGUGAUCACCAGGGUGUGGAUUGUUUCUUGGCAUGUGUGGAGUUCUGCAAUUCUGUGUUGUGACCAAGAUAUGAUAAACACGAAACUAUGUACAUGCAUGUCAGAUAAAGAUGUUUAUAUACUCAUGUCGUGUUUCAGCUAUUGUGGCCUACAGCAAAAUAACUUAAUAAGCUUGACAUUUUGUACAAAAUUAAAGUUCUUACAAGUGAAAAUUAAAUAGAUGUUUCUAUUUCCCGAAACUUCAAAUUUUUUAAAUAGUUUAUGUUUCAAGGAAAUCUUUUCAUUCAGUAAGAAAAAAAUAACCAUGGCUGACAGAAAAUUUGUUAAAAAUGUAAAAAGAAAUGUACAAAAAAAUAUAACAAAAUAUAUGAAUAAAGGAGAACUGGAUAUAAUUAUCUGCCCAUUUUAUGAGUUAGUUGGGAUAUAGAUACAUGUAUGCAUAAUAAACAUCCUUUUAUGAAAAUAAUUGAUAAAACAAUUGUCAUAAGGUAGCGUAAAAAGAGUCUCGAACAUGGUCAGUUUUAUUUAUAGAAGAUUCAAGGACUAUUAUGAACACAAAAAUGUUUGUCAUUGAAUACCGUGGCUUUGAAAUCAAUGUUCAAAGUUUGAUCAACUUAUCUUGCGUAGUUUUUGAGAUAUGAUGACCUGAAUGGGACAAAAAUGAGAAGUUACAUAUGAAGUAUCAGUAAUUAGUGCUAUGGAAUUGUUGCUCUUGUACAGCAUCAUAUAUACUGUUUUAUAUGGCAAGAAAGGACAGUAAUCUUGUACAUUAGUUUUUGAAAACUAAUACUUAGUAUAAAAACGUAAUAUUAUGUUGCACUUCCUACUUAAUUUAUUGCCAUUUGAUGAUUCAGUAUUUUUACUCAAAAGUACAUAGCAGAUCUAUAUUUUUCAUUUUUUUAUGCACGAUGAAAACCAAAGCAGGAAAAAAAAAAUCAGUUGAAAUAUUUAACAGUUUAUUGUAGAUAUUGAUAAGAUUUUAUAAAUACAUAAAUGUGACUGU